This 100-nucleotide ribosomal RNA is filed under the name vertebrate environmental sample. RNAcentral describes it as "partial 12S ribosomal RNA". Lineage: Eukaryota; Metazoa; Chordata. The record is from RNAcentral.
UUAGCCCUAAACCUAGGUAAUUAACUCAACAAAAAUACUCGCCAGAGGACUACUAGCAACAGCUUAAAACUCAAAGGACUUGGCGGUGCUUUAUAUCCAU